AAGACAUGCUGCGCAUGCGUCGCCAUUUUGCGCAGCCAUUUUAAGCAAGGCGUGACGACAAAACUUGACAGGAAGACGGCUCAGCCGCCGAGUUUGUGUCGUACUCUGUACAAACAUUGGUCGUAGCAGACAUAAGUGUUUAUUCGUUACCGGAGAAACUCGUCGGAGUGAGACGCUCAAGCUAGUUUAGCGUGCUAGCUUAGCGUGCUAGCUGCCAGCAAAGACGCGCGGAUGUGAUCAGAGCGUCCAUCGCUCUGCAGAGAUCAAGUGCUGAGAUUAGCGUGUGAAAUGUGUAAGGUACGAAUGCUGAGGGCGUUGGUGAACGACCGACUAAGUGCUGCUGUCGAAGAAAUAUUCGGAGCGUUUGAAAGAACCUUAGCGGAGUACGAGGAGGAACUUUGUCGGACGAAAGAGGAAAACGAGCGACAACGUCAACUACUGGACGCUGUUUUCAAGUCUCAAGAUGACCCACACAGAGAAGACGUCAGUGAAGAAGAUGUUCGUCCUGAGCAGCAGGAGUGGAGCUCCAGGGUGGAGCAGGAGGAGCCAGAGUCCCCCCACGUUAAAGAGGAAGAGGAGGGAGAGCAACUUAACGGACCAGAGUUGCCAGUGAUUCGUGUCAUUGUGAAGAGUGAAGAUGCUGCAGACAAAAGUCAGAGUGAGCAGAACAUUAGGCCGGCGCCUCCGACCAGCAGCUCACGUCAACACAUGACAACAAAAGGAGUUGAAGACCACCAUGGUGGAUCCCAAGGCGACAGCCUCUUAGCGCCGCUCUCCGAUAGUGACGACACGUCGUCACACUCUCAUGACACUGAUGAUGAACACACUAAAGGUGCUACGACAUGUCUCACAGUCCACAAGCAUUUGAAAUGCUCUCAGUGUGACAAAACGUUUUACGACAAUAGUAAUCUGAAAAGACACAUGAGAAGUCACACAGGAGAGAAACCGUACGUCUGCUCAGUUUGUGGUAAAACAUUUGCUCACAAGGGAAAUUUGACAACACACACAAGAACACACACUGGAGAGAAACCAUUUUCCUGCUCAGUCUGCAGCACAAAAUUUAGUGAUCAUUCUGUACUGAUUCGACACAUGAGAAGACACACUGGGGAGAAACCUUUUACUUGUUUGGUGUGUGGGAAAGGAUUCCUUGUGAAAGGAUCUUUAAAAGCACACACAAGAACACACACUGGGGAAAAGCCUUUUACAUGCUCAGUUUGUGGUAAAACAUUCUCUCAAAACUCACAUUUGAGAACACACACAAGGACGCACACUGGAGAAAAAUCUUAUUCUUGCUCAGUCUGCAACACAACAUUUGGAGGUCGAGCUGCUUUAUUUUGGCACAUGACAACACACCAUGGACAUUGAUCAUCAAUUUAAUAAAAGAUUAACUUGAAAAAGACAAUAAUUAGUUCCGGUGAAUUGUGCUUCGAAUUUCUGCGCUGGUCAUGUCGUGGUACAUGCUGCUGCUUUGCAUUCGGAUAGCACAGGUUAGAUUCCCAGUUAGUGUAGAAAUUCCCAAGCCUGGAUAAAAAUAGGUGGGUUGCGUCAAGAAGGGCCAAACAAGUGACGUGAGUAAUUCUCUAUGGCAACCCCUGACUUGGAAAAGAUGAAACUCUCUUUUAGUGUGCUUCCAACUUCUCUUAAAGUGUCUAACAAACACAAGUAUGUGGGUGAGAAGAGCUGCAAAACCUUGAUAAACUGCAAAGACUUGGAGAAACUUUGACUUUCUAACAAAAGUACCGCUCUUUGAUUGUUGAGGUAGGAACAUCAUACUGACAUACUUUAAUUUUGAAUUAAUUUUGUCAUCAAAAGGAUACCUUGCGUCUUCGGGACUAUCAAAGUGUACAUUUGAAUUGCUAAGGAGAUUUUUUUCUGAAACUAAUUUCGUCUAUUAUAGCCAGAAUGUGAUAUUCUAAAUAUUAUGUAUAAUUAAUUACCGGUAAUGUUAUUAAUUGAUGUACGGUUGGUUUCCCGACUUAAAUAAUAAGGAUCUAGGGGCACAAGGCCUUGACCAAAAGGGAGCGGAAAACAAACUGUGGUUAUUGGGUUCCUCUUUGCAGAAUCAGAAAAUAAGAAACGUCAUCAAGAGACCGAGGCAAAGUUAGAAAGAUGUUUGCAGCUUUUUGAGAAAAUGGUGGACAAAAUGUAACUAUUGUACAAUAACAUUUUUUAAAUGUUAUUAUGUAUAUUGGAUACAUAUUUGUAUAUUUGUGCUGGUUGUUAUUGUAUGCUACUGAUUGAGCUGUGAAAUGUCACACUUUGACAAAAUGUGUUGCUUCUACAAAGAGGUAUUCCUGAAGUGGAUACAAAUUAUGUAGAAAUGAAUGCAACUUAUCUUGUGGUAGUAGCCAUUUAGUAUAAACAAUUUGUUUUCGCACAAUUGACCCAUUUUCUUCAAUUUUUUGGGGAAAAAAAUAAAAACUGUUUGAUCUUAAAAUGUACAAGUCAAUGAAAGCUGGCAGCAAAUAAAAUAUAAACAAAUGAGAAUUUUGCCUUAUCCAGUGUGGACGCUGUCAGAAAUUACUACAGCCAGUCUGUCCCUUGUAGGGUUGCCUUAUGCUUCAUUGCUUGCAGCUUGUUCACAUGGAGGCUGGGGUUCAGGCCAUAUCCUCAUCAGGAACCACCACGUCCCUAUUAUCAAUUCCCACACUGUGCAGGAAGGCACAGGAGGCGAUGAUCUGAGGCGCAAAGGUGGGCUUCACUUUUGAGUUUUCGGAAAGCGUUGACUUAUUUUGUCUUCAUCAUCCCAAACACUGUAAAUUACACUUCCAUGCUAUGGAAUGGUAGUAGUUGAACUGUUGCUGGACUUUUCUGUGAACAGGUUGCUUAUAUGGUGUGGUCAGCCACAGAGUACCCACCAUCAUCGAGGACAGGGGUGUCAAACUGCAAAAUAUGUUGCCUGUAGUAGAAACCCUUGUAUUUAUGAUAGCCUAAUCCAUCUGGUGAAUUUUUGGGUGGUUUAAUGCGCAUGUGGCUUCCAUCUAUUGCCACCACAACAUUUACAAAUAAAAGUGUUCCUGACAAUUUGACAAACCCUUCUCCAGCUAGUGUCAAGCACCUAGUGCGAAGGAGAUGCCUUUGAAAGGGUACACAUUUGUACACUUUGUAAAGUGCGCCCACACUCAUAGUUGCCUAUGAUUUUGGAAAAUAAUAGAAAUGCUCCCUCCAAUAUAAUCAGUAGUGCUUCCAAUGGAGAAGGACACUUGUCAGCCAAGGAUGGUUUUGUGGCACUGGUGAGUCGCUCAGGAAGUGGCAACCACAGGUAUAAAAAUAGAUUGAUAGGACACAAAAAAAAUGAAGAGCUUAACACAUUCAAUUGUUUUUUGUAAAACACUAAAUGAAAUUAAUGAAUAACAAGAAGCAUAUUAUAGAAUUUCAGUGUUAAAAAUAUCAUUUUGGUUAAAGAGCUUCUACACAUACUGGUGAAUUAAGCAUUACAUUAUCAUAAAACAAUUGGUGUUUUAUGUUUUAUGUUUUCUGGCAACUUUGAAAGUUGUUUUUUUGCAUCACCGUUGAGCUGUGAAGUUGCAUCAUUCAACAUCACCACUUUGGAUCACUGUUGAGCUGUGAAGUUGCAUCAUUCAGCAUCACCACUAUUGCUUACUCCACAGCUCUAUGACGUGUUGAUAGUCUGUGGUUGGUACUGUGCCAAGACCAGAUGUUUGAGAAAGUUUUUGUGGCACCAUACUUUAUUUAAGCACGGUGUACAGAAAUGUUACAUCUCCUAAUCCUCACACUUCUGCUCAGUGAAAGUAUGUCAAGUCCUGUACUGAGAAGAACUAACAACCAUGAAGCAAAAAUUGAGUUUCAUUACUCCAGCAACCUUCAGCCAUAUGCUAGACAUACUGAUGAUUAUGGUGAGAAACCGCUGCCUGACCCACAUGACGAAAAUCCUUUCUACCCAAACCUGGAGAAUGAUUAUUGAAGGAAACUCCUUGUCAGCCUUGCAGAUGCUCCUUAGACAGAAUUCCCCAUUUUAAACGUAUUCUAACUGUUCCACUAUUGCUACCUGUGUUGUACAAAUAAAAUCUCAGCAAUUCUUAAGACUGUCACUGUAACAACAAGGCUGCAGACAC
Phycodurus eques (leafy seadragon) is the source of this 4076-nucleotide RNA transcript. It is a transcript of the gene named zinc finger protein 572-like, with no coding region annotated. The transcript is spliced from 4 exons. The record is from RefSeq and is a predicted model, not a curated record. Lineage: Eukaryota; Metazoa; Chordata; Actinopteri; Syngnathiformes; Syngnathidae.